UGGGGAAUAUUGCACAAUGGGCGCAAGCCUGAUGCAGCCAUGCCGCGUGUAUGAAGAAGGCCUUCGGGUUGUAAAGUACUUUCAGACGGGAGGAAGGUGGUAAGGUUAAUAACCUUAUCAAUUGACGUUACCGACAGAAGAAGCACCGGCUAACUCCGUGCCAGCAGCCGCGGUAAUACGGAGGGUGCAAGCGUUAAUCGGAAUUACUGGGCGUAAAGCGCACGCAGGCGGUUGAUUGAGUCAGAUGUGAAAUCCCCGGGCUUAACCCGGGAAGUGCAUCUGAUACUGGGCAGCUAGAGUCUGGUAGAGGGGGGUAGAAUUCCAUGUGUAGCGGUGAAAUGCGUAGAGAUGUGGAGGAAUACCGGUGGCGAAGGCGGCCCCCUGGAUAAAGACUGACGCUCAGGUGCGAAAGCGUGGGGAGCAAACAGG
This 429-nucleotide ribosomal RNA is filed under the name Chloroflexota bacterium. RNAcentral's name for it is "Chloroflexi bacterium partial 16S ribosomal RNA". It matches the Rfam family "Bacterial small subunit ribosomal RNA", at positions 355 to 776 of the family's 1533-position model. The record is from RNAcentral. Lineage: Bacteria; Bacillati; Chloroflexota.